CAACGGGGGAAGAACCAACAGGGAUUGCCCUAGUAACGGCGAGUGAAGCGGCAACAGCUCAAAUUUGAAAUCUGGCCUCUUUGGGGUCCGAGUUGUAAUUUGCAGAGGGCGCUUUGGUGUUGGCAGCGGUCCAAGUUCCUUGGAACAGGACGUCACAGAGGGUGAGAAUCCCGUACGUGGUCGCUAGCCCUCACCGUGUAAAGCCCCUUCGACGAGUCGAGUUGUUUGGGAAUGCAGCUCUAAAUGGGAGGUAAAUUUCUUCUAAAGCUAAAUACUGGCCAGAGACCGAUAGCGCACAAGUAGAGUGAUCGAAAGAUGAAAAGCACUUUGGAAAGAGAGUUAAAAAGCACGUGAAAUUGUUGAAAGGGAAGCGCUUGCAGCCAGACUUGCCUGUAGUUGCUCAUCCGGGUUUUUACCCGGUGCACUCUUCUGCGGGCAGGCCAGCAUCAGUUUGGGCGGUUGGAUAAAGGUCUCUGUCAUGUACCUCUCUUCGGGGAGAACUUAUAGGGGAGACGACAUGCAACCAGCCUGGACUGAGGUCCGCGCAUCUGCUAGGAUGCUGGCGUAAUGGCUGUAAGCGGCCCGUCUUGAAACACGGACCAAGGAGUCUAACAUCUAUGCGAGUGUUUGGGUGUCAAGCCCGAGCGCGUAAUGAAAGUGAACGGAGGUGGGAACCUUUCGGGGUGCACCAUCGACCGAUCCUGAUGUCUUCGGAUGGAUUUGAGUAAGAGCAUAGCUGUUGGGACCCGAAAGAUGGUGAACUAUGCUUGAAUAGGGUGAAGCCAGAGGAAACUCUGGUGGAGGCUCGCAGCGGUUCUGACGUGCAAAUCGAUCGUCAAAUUUGGGCAUAGGGGCGAAAGACUAAUCGAACUAUCUAGUAGCUGGUUCCUGCCGAAGUUCCCUCAGAUAGCAGUAACGUUUCAGUUUUAUGAGGUAAAGCGAAUGAUUAGAGCCUGGGGGUUGAACAACCUUCACCUA
This 978-nucleotide ribosomal RNA is filed under the name Neoscirrhia matteucciicola. RNAcentral describes it as "eukaryotic LSU rRNA". It matches the Rfam family "Eukaryotic large subunit ribosomal RNA", at positions 48 to 1054 of the family's 3401-position model. The record is from RNAcentral. Lineage: Eukaryota; Fungi; Ascomycota; Dothideomycetes; Pleosporales.